UGGGGAAUAUUGCACAAUGGGCGCAAGCCUGAUGCAGCCAUGCCGCGUGUAUGAAGAAGGCCUUCGGGUUGUAAAGUACUUUCAGUCGGGAGGAAGGUGGUAAGGUUAAUAACCUUAUCAAUUGACGUUACCGACAGAAGAAGCACCGGCUAACUCCGUGCCAGCAGCCGCGGUAAUACGGAGGGUGCAAGCGUUAAUCGGAAUUACUGGGCGUAAAGCGCACGCAGGCGGUUGAUUGAGUCAGAUGUGAAAUCCCCGGGCUUAACCCGGGAAUUGCAUCUGAUACUGGUCAGCUAGAGUCUUGUAGAGGGGGGUAGAAUUCCAUGUGUAGCGGUGAAAUGCGUAGAGAUGUGGAGGAAUACCGGUGGCGAAGGCGGCCCCCUGGACAAAGACUGACGCUGAGGUGCGAAAGCGUGGGGAGCAAACAGG
RNAcentral lists this ribosomal RNA (429 nucleotides) under Chloroflexota bacterium. Its description in RNAcentral is "Chloroflexi bacterium partial 16S ribosomal RNA". It matches the Rfam family "Bacterial small subunit ribosomal RNA", at positions 355 to 776 of the family's 1533-position model. Lineage: Bacteria; Bacillati; Chloroflexota. The record is from RNAcentral.